RNAcentral lists this long non-coding RNA (229 nucleotides) under Monodelphis domestica (gray short-tailed opossum). RNAcentral's name for it is "lncRNA (ENSMODG00000034445.2)". The record is from RNAcentral. Lineage: Eukaryota; Metazoa; Chordata; Mammalia; Didelphimorphia; Didelphidae.
UCUGGAUUUGCAUAACUUCACUUGAAACAGUUGUCCUUAUCCUGCUAAGAACUGGGUUACAGAGGGACAGCUAGAUGGCUCAAUGGAUAGAGCUAGAUCUGGAGGAGGAUCUCAUACGGUGGGAAUAGAAGUUUGGGAGAAAUCCCUAUAUACCUGCUGGAGAUAAGAAGGUUCUUUGGACCAAGCCGCUGGCAGUCUGCUGCCAAAGCUGUGAUUAAAGCACCCUGAC